AUUGGGAAAUGAUGCAAAAUAUGAAUCAGAGGCUGUUUCUGAGAGGCAGUAGCAAGUUUGCUUUGCCUUUGCUGAAAAAUUUACACGCCAAUCUGAUCCCAGG
This is a small nucleolar RNA of Phoenix dactylifera (date palm), 103 nucleotides long. RefSeq annotates it as small nucleolar RNA Z122. The record is from RefSeq and is a predicted model, not a curated record. Lineage: Eukaryota; Viridiplantae; Streptophyta; Magnoliopsida; Arecales; Arecaceae.